UACGAAGGGGGCUAGCGUUGUUCGGAAUUACUGGGCGUAAAGGGCGCGUAGGCGGCCUACUAAGUCAGACGUGAAAUCCCCCGGCUUAACCUGGGAACUGCGUCUGAUACUGGAAGGCUUGAGUAUGGGAGAGGGAUGUAGAAUUCCAGGUGUAGCGGUGAAAUGCGUAGAUAUCUGGAGGAAUACCGGUGGCGAAGGCGGCAUCCUGGACCAUUACUGACGCUGAGGCGCGAAAGCUAGGGGAGCAAACGGG
RNAcentral lists this ribosomal RNA (253 nucleotides) under uncultured bacterium. RNAcentral describes it as "partial 16S ribosomal RNA". It matches the Rfam family "Bacterial small subunit ribosomal RNA", at positions 524 to 776 of the family's 1533-position model. The record is from RNAcentral.